AAGUCGUAACAAGGUUUCCGUAGGUGAACCUGCGGAAGGAUCAUUAAAGAUUGGCCGAAAGGCCUUAUCCUUAUAUCCCUCACCUCUGUGAACUGUGGACCCUCGGGUCCGUUUUAACAAACAUCAGUGUAAUGAACGUAUCAAUAUAUAACAAAACAAAACUUUCAACAACGGAUCUCUUGGCUCUC
RNAcentral lists this unclassified non-coding RNA (188 nucleotides) under Papiliotrema laurentii. Its description in RNAcentral is "partial internal transcribed spacer region". The stretch from base 1 to 46 matches the Rfam family "Eukaryotic small subunit ribosomal RNA", at positions 1786 to 1831 of the family's 1831-position model. Lineage: Eukaryota; Fungi; Basidiomycota; Tremellomycetes; Tremellales; Rhynchogastremaceae. RNAcentral also lists the same sequence under 3 other names. The record is from RNAcentral.